CCUACGGGAGGCAGCAGUGGGGAAUAUUGCACAAUGGGGGAAACCCUGAUGCAGCGACGCCGCGUGAGUGAAGAAGUAUUUCUGUAUGUAAAGCUCUAUCAGCAGGGAAGAAAAUGACGGUACCUGAUUAAGAAGCCCCGGCUAACUACGUGCCAGCAGCCGCGGUAAUACGUAGGGGACAAGCGUUAUCCGGAUUUACUGGGUGUAAAGGGAGCGUAGACGGCAGCACAAGUCUGGAGUGAAAUGCCGGGGCUUAACCCCGGAACUGCUUUGGAAACUGUGCAGCUAGAGUGCAGGAGAGGUAAGUGGAAUUCCUAGUGUAGCGGUGAAAUGCGUAGAUAUUAGGAGGAACACCAGUGGCGAAGGCGGCUGACUGGACUGGAACUGACGUUGAGGCUCGAAAGCGUGGGGAGCAAACAGGAUUAGAUACCCGGUAGUC
RNAcentral lists this ribosomal RNA (439 nucleotides) under uncultured bacterium. RNAcentral describes it as "partial 16S ribosomal RNA". It matches the Rfam family "Bacterial small subunit ribosomal RNA", at positions 338 to 795 of the family's 1533-position model. The record is from RNAcentral.